UGUACAUUCAGUAAAACAAGUCCUGUUCUGUAGACAUGGUCCAGUUAUUUCUUCAUGUUGGACCAGUCCAAUUUGACUGUCAGUUGAAAUAAACCUUUUGUUGUAAAAAAACUUGUUUAAUUUGUUAUGAAUCUAUUUUG
Long non-coding RNA from Etheostoma cragini (Arkansas darter), 140 nucleotides. RefSeq lists it as uncharacterized. The transcript is spliced from 3 exons. The record is from RefSeq and is a predicted model, not a curated record. NCBI's taxonomy places the organism in Eukaryota, Metazoa, Chordata, Actinopteri, Perciformes, Percidae.